CGUCCCUGCUCCCUUGCACACACCGCCCGUCAAACCACCCGAGUGGGGUUUGAAUGAGGGCCUUAUUCAUUGUAAGGCUCGAAUUCAUGCUCUGUAAGGGGGUU
RNAcentral lists this ribosomal RNA (104 nucleotides) under uncultured bacterium. RNAcentral's name for it is "partial 16S ribosomal RNA". It matches the Rfam family "Archaeal small subunit ribosomal RNA", at positions 1325 to 1428 of the family's 1478-position model. The record is from RNAcentral.